UCAUCUUUUGACAAUUCAUUUUUAAGAUAUAGUUGCCUAUUUAACAAUUUUCCUUUUCUGCUGAACUAAAAUUGGACAUUAGUGAUUUUAAUUAAGCAUAGAAAAUACUAUAUUCCUAUUAAAAAGUCUAAUGGUUUAAUUAUAAAGAACUAGCAGGGAAUAGUGCAUAGAAAGAUGGCUCUGAAACUGGGAAGACCAGGUUACAAGUCUGACCUUUCAUACAUACUAACUCUGUGACCCUGGAUAAAUAAAUUAGUUUUUGGGUACUGUAGACAGGGUACUUUUAGGGGCUUAAUUUUCCUCAUUCUUGUAUUCCUCAUAACUUGUAUGUCUCUUCUUUGUGGCUUUUUUAUAGGUGCUGAAUAAGGUAAUGAAUUUGUAAAUGCGGCAUACAGUACUUGAUUAUGAUAUCAUUUGACAUCAGCGUCAAGUCCUGGAGAAAUUGUCAAGUAAAAGCAAAUAGAAAGACAAAAAAGGAAUGGUCCCUGUUCUUCUCCCAGUGAUGCUAUUUGCUUAGGAAUCAUGGAAUGGAGUUAUUUCAGAAGAAUCAGAAUUGCAAGUGGCUGCAGUGGCAAUGGAAAGAAGUAUGAGGCAGUGCAAGAAAUCUCAGUUGCAUCACUGAUGAUGACAUGGCCCAUGACCAAUGUUAAUCCAAUGAUGGGUUAACAUAUACUAUCCAGAAUAUGUAAGCCUGUAAAAGGAGAUGGAGAUGAUGGAAUUUUUAUUUUUGGUUUAAGAGAAGAAGGAACAAAGGAAACCCCAAAAGAGAAGAAAAAUCAGUGGUUGAACUAAUAGAAACUAGGAAGAUCAACUGACAAAAGAAAAACCAAACCAAAAGAAGUUGUGCUCAAAGGAAAAUAAGAAAUGAAAAGAAAGGCUACAUAGGGGAGUGAUUGGAGAGCUGGCUUCUGAUGCAGAAAGAUCUACAUUCAAAUUCUGCUUCUGAUACUAGCCAUUUGAGCAUAUGACUUAACUCUUCUGUGUCCAUAGAGGACUGAUAACUCAAAGUCCAAGAGAGGCUGAUUUUGACUCAGUGCAAGGAAAACAAAAACUUCAAAAAAACUGCAUUGAUUUUAUAGCGUUGGGAGCUUUGGCAGACUUGGCCCUGGAACUUGAGCCUGGAGAUGCUCCUCAGACUGCUUCCUUUUAGACGGUCACGUGGUGAGUGAUAAGACUGACUCCCCUUUCCCUUGGCUUUCUGGAGAGGCCCCUUGGUCGAAGUCUCUGAACUCCUGCUUGACGCAGAGUGGGCUGGAGCAGUCCAAUUCCCUCUCCUCUGUCUUUUCUUCUUAAUUUCUUCCCACCAUUGUAAUUAAACCACCAUAAAAAUCCCAAA
Non-coding RNA from Monodelphis domestica (gray short-tailed opossum), 1336 nucleotides. The record is from RefSeq and is a predicted model, not a curated record. NCBI's taxonomy places the organism in Eukaryota, Metazoa, Chordata, Mammalia, Didelphimorphia, Didelphidae.